CCCGCUGAACUUAAGCAUAUCAAUAAGCGGAGGAAAAGAAACUAACAAGGAUUCCCCUAGUAACGGCGAGUGAAGCGGGAAGAGCUCAAAUUUAAAAUCUGGCGGCCUUCGGUCGUCCGAGUUGUAGCCUAGAGAAGCGUUUUCCGCGGCGGACCAUGUACAAGUCCCUUGGAACAGGGCGUCAUAGAGGGUGAGAAUCCCGUCCUUGACAUGGACCCCCGUCGCUCUGCGAUGCGCUCUCGAAGAGUCGAGUUGUUUGGGAAUGCAGCUCAAAAUGGGUGGUAAAUUCCAUCUAAAGCUAAAUAUUGGCGAGAGACCGAUAGCGAACAAGUACCGUGAGGGAAAGAUGAAAAGCACUUUGGAAAGAGAGUCAAACAGUACGUGAAAUUGUUAAAAGGGAAACGAUCAAAGUCAGUCGCGUCUGCCGGGACUCAGCCUUGCCUUCGCGCUCGGCGCAUUUCCCGGUCUGACGGGCCAGCGUCGAUUUUGACCGGCGGAAAAGGGUCGGAGGAACGUGGCUCCUCACGGAGUGUUAUAGCCUUCGGCCGCAAACGUCGGUUGGGAUCGAGCCCUCCCGCACGGCACGCCUCUGGCGGUGCCCGCGCUGGCGUAAUGGCUUUGACCGACCCGUCUUGAAACACGG
RNAcentral lists this ribosomal RNA (643 nucleotides) under uncultured fungus. RNAcentral describes it as "eukaryotic LSU rRNA". It matches the Rfam family "Eukaryotic large subunit ribosomal RNA", at positions 24 to 664 of the family's 3401-position model. Lineage: Eukaryota; Fungi. The record is from RNAcentral.